UGAGGAAUAUUGGUCAAUGGACGCAAGUCUGAACCAGCCAUGCCGCGUGCAGGAUGACGGCUCUAUGAGUUGUAAACUGCUUUUGUACGAGGGUAAACGCAGAUACGUGUAUCUGUCUGAAAGUAUCGUACGAAUAAGGAUCGGCUAACUCCGUGCCAGCAGCCGCGGUAAUACGGAGGAUUCAAGCGUUAUCCGGAUUUAUUGGGUUUAAAGGGUGCGUAGGCGGUUUGAUAAGUUAGAGGUGAAAUUUCGGGGCUCAACCCUGAACGUGCCUCUAAUACUGUUGAGCUAGAGAGUAGUUGCGGUAGGCGGAAUGUAUGGUGUAGCGGUGAAAUGCUUAGAGAUUAUACAGAACACCGAUUGCGAAGGCAGCUUACCAAACUAUAUCUGACGUUGAGGCACGAAAGCGUGGGGAGCAAACAGGAUUAGAUACCCUGGUAGUCCACGCAGUAAACGAUGAUAACUCGUUGUCGGCGAUACACAGUCGGUGACUAAGCGAAAGCGAUAAGUUAUCCACCUGGGGAGUACGUUCGCAAGAAUGAAACUCAAAGGAAUUGACGGGGGCCCGCACAAGCGGAGGAACAUGUGGUUUAAUUCGAUGAUACGCGAGGAACCUUACCCGGGCUUGAAAGUUAGCGACGAUUCUUGAAAGAGGAUUUCCCUUCGGGGCGCGAAACUAGGUGCUGCAUGGUUGUCGUCAGCUCGUGCCGUGAGGUGUCGGGUUAAGUCCCAUAACGAGCGCAACCCCUACCGUUAGUUGCCAUCAGGUGAAGCUGGGCACUCUGGCGGGACUGCCGGUGUAAGCCGAGAGGAAGGUGGGGAUGACGUCAAAUCAGCACGGCCCUUACGUCCGGGGCUACACACGUGUUACAAUGGUAGGUACAGAGGGCAGCUACCCAGCGAUGGGAUGCGAAUCUCGAAAGCCUAUCUCAGUUCGGAUUGGAGGCUGAAACCCGCCUCCAUGAAGUUGGAUUCGCUAGUAAUCGCGCAUCAGCCAUGGCGCGGUGAAUACGUUCCC
This 1018-nucleotide ribosomal RNA is filed under the name uncultured bacterium. Its description in RNAcentral is "bacterial SSU rRNA". It matches the Rfam family "Bacterial small subunit ribosomal RNA", at positions 355 to 1375 of the family's 1533-position model. The record is from RNAcentral.